UUACUGAAGUGAGUCUUCAUUCAUUGAAGCUUCUUCCCAUUGUGCUGGCUUUGACCGUAUGUUAUGUUGGGGAUUAAACAUGGUUAGGAAAGAUUUUAUUUUUCUUGGCCGUCCCCAACAAUUAUCUUAUCCUUUAUUAAAAUUGAACUGAACUCAUUUUGAGAUUACAUAAAAAAAUAAUCUUAUAAUACAACUUUCAACAACGGAUCUCUUGGUUCUCGCAUCGAUGAAGAACGCAGCGAAAUGCGAUACGUAAUGUGAAUUGCAGAAUUCAGUGAAUCAUCGAAUCUUUGAACGCACAUUGCACUCUAUGGUAUUCCGUAGAGUAUGCCUGUUUCAGUAUCAUGAACACCUCACUACUACAACUUUAUUGUUUUGUAAUAGUGGACUUGGGAUGCGCUGGUGUCCAAUCAGCCCUUCUAAAAUGGAGUUCUUGCACUGUUGAUUUGUUUUAACAGCAAUGUUGGCCUAAUAAGUUUCGGCAGUAAUGUUGAAAUCACCGGCUUUUUUUGCUUAGAAUCUGACAGUCUUGAUAUACAGAAUUUUGAGGUGACUUUGGUCUCCUCUUUCAAAUUUUGAUCUGAAAUCAGGUAGGAUUACCCGCUGAACUUAA
This 613-nucleotide ribosomal RNA is filed under the name fungal sp. 2536 YZ-2011. Its description in RNAcentral is "eukaryotic LSU rRNA". The stretch from base 192 to 345 matches the Rfam family "5.8S ribosomal RNA". The record is from RNAcentral. Lineage: Eukaryota; Fungi.